CCUACGGGGGGCAGCAGUGAGGAAUAUUGGUCAAUGGGCGGGAGCCUGAACCAGCCAAGUCGCGUGAGGGACGACGGUCCUAUGGAUUGUAAACCUCUUUUGUCGGGGAACAAAGGCGCCCACGGGUGGGCGUAUGAGUGUACCCGAAGAAAAAGCAUCGGCUAACUCCGUGCCAGCAGCCGCGGUAAUACGGAGGAUGCGAGCGUUAUCCGGAUUUAUUGGGUUUAAGGGGUGCGUAGGCGGACAGUAAAGUCAGCGGUAAAAAUGCGGUGCUCAACGCCGUACAGCCGUUGAAACUGGCAGUCUAGAGUGGGCGAGAGGUAUGCGGAAUGCGUGGUGUAGCGGUGAAAUGCAUAGAGAUCACGCAGAACUCCGAUUGCGAAGGCAGCAUACCGGCGCCCUACUGACGCUGAGGCACGAAAGCGUGGGUAGCGAACAGGAUUAGAUACCCGAGUAGUC
This 459-nucleotide ribosomal RNA is filed under the name uncultured bacterium. RNAcentral describes it as "partial 16S ribosomal RNA". It matches the Rfam family "Bacterial small subunit ribosomal RNA", at positions 338 to 795 of the family's 1533-position model. The record is from RNAcentral.